This 1033-nucleotide ribosomal RNA is filed under the name Micrococcus luteus. RNAcentral describes it as "bacterial SSU rRNA". It matches the Rfam family "Bacterial small subunit ribosomal RNA", at positions 46 to 1089 of the family's 1533-position model. Lineage: Bacteria; Bacillati; Actinomycetota; Actinomycetes; Micrococcales; Micrococcaceae. The record is from RNAcentral.
GCAUAACACAUGCAAGUCGAACGAUGAAGCCCAGCUUGCUGGGUGGAUUAGUGGCGAACGGGUGAGUAACACGUGAGUAACCUGCCCUUAACUCUGGGAUAAGCCUGGGAAACUGGGUCUAAUACCGGAUAGGAGCGUCCACCGCAUGGUGGGUGUUGGAAAGAUUUAUCGGUUUUGGAUGGACUCGCGGCCUAUCAGCUUGUUGGUGAGGUAAUGGCUCACCAAGGCGACGACGGGUAGCCGGCCUGAGAGGGUGACCGGCCACACUGGGACUGAGACACGGCCCAGACUCCUACGGGAGGCAGCAGUGGGGAAUAUUGCACAAUGGGCGAAAGCCUGAUGCAGCGACGCCGCGUGAGGGAUGACGGCCUUCGGGUUGUAAACCUCUUUCAGUAGGGAAGAAGCGAAAGUGACGGUACCUGCAGAAGAAGCACCGGCUAACUACGUGCCAGCAGCCGCGGUAAUACGUAGGGUGCGAGCGUUAUCCGGAAUUAUUGGGCGUAAAGAGCUCGUAGGCGGUUUGUCGCGUCUGUCGUGAAAGUCCGGGGCUUAACCCCGGAUCUGCGGUGGGUACGGGCAGACUAGAGUGCAGUAGGGGAGACUGGAAUUCCUGGUGUAGCGGUGGAAUGCGCAGAUAUCAGGAGGAACACCGAUGGCGAAGGCAGGUCUCUGGGCUGUAACUGACGCUGAGGAGCGAAAGCAUGGGGAGCGAACAGGAUUAGAUACCCUGGUAGUCCAUGCCGUAAACGUUGGGCACUAGGUGUGGGGACCAUUCCACGGUUUCCGCGCCGCAGCUAACGCAUUAAGUGCCCCGCCUGGGGAGUACGGCCGCAAGGCUAAAACUCAAAGGAAUUGACGGGGGCCCGCACAAGCGGCGGAGCAUGCGGAUUAAUUCGAUGCAACGCGAAGAACCUUACCAAGGCUUGACAUGUUCUCGAUCGCCGUAGAGAUACGGUUUCCCCUUUGGGGUGGGUUCACAGGUGGUGCAUGGGUUGUCGUCAGCUCGUGUCGUGAGAUGUUGGGUUAAGUCCCG